UAAUUGAAGAGUUUGAUCAUGGCUCAGAUUGAACGCUGGCGGCAGGCCUAACACAUGCAAGUCGAGCGGCAGCGGAAGGAAGCUUGCUUCCUUGCCGGCGAGCGGCGGACGGGUGAGUAAUGUCUGGGGAUCUGCCCGAUGGAGGGGGAUAACUACUGGAAACGGUAGCUAAUACCGC
This 178-nucleotide non-coding RNA is filed under the name Lonsdalea quercina. RNAcentral describes it as "Bacterial small subunit ribosomal RNA". It matches the Rfam family "Bacterial small subunit ribosomal RNA", at positions 1 to 172 of the family's 1533-position model. Lineage: Bacteria; Pseudomonadati; Pseudomonadota; Gammaproteobacteria; Enterobacterales; Pectobacteriaceae. The record is from Rfam by way of RNAcentral.